GCCUCAGUAACGGCGAGUGAAGCGGCAACAGCUCAAAUUUGAAAUCUGGCCCCCCGGGUCCGAGUUGUAAUUUGCAGAGGAUGCUUUUGGCGCGGUGCCUUCCGAGUUCCCUGGAACGGGACGCCAUAGAGGGUGAGAGCCCCGUCUGGUCGGACACCAAGCCUCUGUAAAGCUCCUUCGACGAGUCGAGUAGUUUGGGAAUGCUGCUCUAAAUGGGAGGUACAUGCCUUCUAAAGCUAAAUACCGGCCAGAGACCGAUAGCGCACAAGUAGAGUGAUCGAAAGAUGAAAAGCACUUUGGAAAGAGAGUUAAAAAGCACGUGAAAUUGUUAAAAGGGAAGCGUUUAUGACCAGACGUGGGCCGGUCAAUCAUCCAGCGUUCUCGCUGGUGCACUUUGCCGGUCCAGGCCAGCAUCAGUUCGCCGCGGGGGACAAAGGCGUCGGGAAUGUGGCUCCUCGGAGUGUUAUAGCCCUUCGCGCAAUACCCUGGGGCGGACUGAGGUUCGCGCUCUGCAAGGAUGCUGGCGUAAUGGUCAUCAACGACCCGUCUUGAAACACGGACCAAGGAGUCGUCUUCGUAUGCGAGUGUUCGGGUGUAAAACCCCUACGCGUAAUGAAAGUGAACGCAGGUGAGAGCUUCGGCGCAUCAUCGACCGAUCCUGAUGUUCUCGGAUGGAUUUGAGUAAGAGCAUACGGGGCCGGACCCGAAAGAAGGUGAACUAUGCCUGUAUAGGGUGAAGCCAGAGGAAACUCUGGUGGAGGCUCGCAGCGGUUCUGACGUGCAAAUCGAUCGUCAAAUAUGGGC
This 804-nucleotide ribosomal RNA is filed under the name Stachybotrys sp. Its description in RNAcentral is "eukaryotic LSU rRNA". It matches the Rfam family "Eukaryotic large subunit ribosomal RNA", at positions 77 to 916 of the family's 3401-position model. Lineage: Eukaryota; Fungi; Ascomycota; Sordariomycetes; Hypocreales; Stachybotryaceae. The record is from RNAcentral.